GACGAACGCUGGCGGCGUGCUUAACACAUGCAAGUCGAACGGUGAAGGGGUCUGCUUUUGUGGGCCCUGGAUGAGUGGCGAACGGGUGAGUAACACGUGAGUAACCUGCCCCCUUCUUCUGGAUAACCGCAUGAAAGUGUGGCAAAUACGGGAUAUUCUGGGUCUGUCGCAUGAUGGGUCUGGGAAAGAUUGCGCCUUUGGGUGUUUUUGGUGGGGGAUGGGCUCGCGGGCUAUCAGCUUGGUGGUGGGGUGAUGGCCUACCAGGGCGGGGACGGGUAGGCGGGCUGGGAGGGUGGACGGUGACACGGGGACUGAGACACGGCCCAGACGCCUACGGGAGGCAGCAGUGGGGGAGAGUGCACAAGGGGCGAAAGCCUGAUGCAGCGACGCCGCGUGAGGGAUGGAGGCCUUCGGGGUGUAAACCUCUUGCGCCAGUGAAGCAGGCCUGCUCCUUGUGGGUGGGUUGGCGGUAGCUGGAGAAGAAGCGCCGGCUAACUACGUG
RNAcentral lists this ribosomal RNA (502 nucleotides) under uncultured bacterium. RNAcentral describes it as "partial 16S ribosomal RNA". It matches the Rfam family "Bacterial small subunit ribosomal RNA", at positions 28 to 507 of the family's 1533-position model. The record is from RNAcentral.